UUAAACUCAAAAGUGCUAGCUUAAAUGUUGGGGGAACGUAAUUUUUUCAAUUGAACCAAAAGUAAUAUGUUGAUAAAAUUAAAAAAAAAAAGAAAGGAAGAAAGAAAAGAAUGCUUUUGACUAUUUAUUCAAACAAAGACGUAGUGACCAACCAAAUUUGCCGCCAAAACUAUACUAGACAAAAAUGCCUUCUUCUCGGGACUCGGUAUCUUUUACACGUUUCCUGUGUUUCGAGAACCUGAUCAUAAAUGCAAGCCAAGCACCUUUAUGCCUUUCAAUCCUUACCAUAAACCUCAUUUUGCACAACAAUCCCACACCCUCACAACCAUUCGCAUACCUCUCAUCUCUCCAUUUCGCUAACCACUCGCAGGAGAAACCGCAAACCAUCGGAGCUCAACCGGAGUUCACCGGAGCCGCCUGAAGUUCCCGACGGUAUCACGACGUCCUCUGUUCGGUAACGAAGAAGAUGAUGACUGUUAUCGAUCCAUUUCUAUUCGGAAAGUUUAACAACUUCGUUUUUCUAUAAGAAACAAAGGUUGUUUUCUGAAGCUUUAAUAAAUAUCCUUUUCUCCACUCUUAAAGAAGUCCGCGGAGUGAGCCAAGCCGCUGAAAACAAGGACACCUCUCACCGGAGAAAAGAUUGAGACGUUGCCGGAGGAUCGGAGGCGACGAAUGGAACGCCACUUCGUCUCGAACUCGAAGACGACACCGGAGCUCGGAGCCGACAUCACGACGGGACUCCACAGUUUUCGGUUAAACGUUUCAUCCUUUCGGAAUCUUUUUUCCCUCCAAUCCUUACUUGUGCGUCAUCUCAAGGAAUCUCCAUACGCAACCAUUGUUAAUGAUUGAUGACACUAUGAAAAUGGAUAUCGAAGAUGCCUAGAUACUCAUUUAGACGCCUUAAGUUUAAAUCGUUGUAUCAAUUUUGUUAUGUUAUGUUGUCACUUGAAUUUCCUUGUAUGUUUUGACAAUUUAUUUAUGAAAUGAA
Long non-coding RNA from Helianthus annuus (common sunflower), 988 nucleotides. RefSeq lists it as uncharacterized. NCBI's taxonomy places the organism in Eukaryota, Viridiplantae, Streptophyta, Magnoliopsida, Asterales, Asteraceae. The record is from RefSeq and is a predicted model, not a curated record. The transcript has 3 exons.